RNAcentral lists this transfer RNA (63 nucleotides) under Platynereis bicanaliculata. RNAcentral describes it as "tRNA-Gly". Lineage: Eukaryota; Metazoa; Annelida; Polychaeta; Phyllodocida; Nereididae. The record is from RNAcentral.
AUUAUGUUAGUAUAAUUAGUACAACUGCCUUCCAAGCAGAAAGUUUGAAUCGCAAACGUAAUA